This 709-nucleotide ribosomal RNA is filed under the name uncultured bacterium. RNAcentral's name for it is "bacterial SSU rRNA". It matches the Rfam family "Bacterial small subunit ribosomal RNA", at positions 60 to 771 of the family's 1533-position model. The record is from RNAcentral.
AGUCGACGGUGAAGAGGAGCUUGCUCCUUGGAUCAGUGGCGAACGGGUGAGUAACACGUGAGCAAUCUGCCCUUGACUCUGGGAUAACUGCGGGAAACUGUAGCUAAUACCGGAUAUUACCUUGGAAGGCAUCUUCUGGGGUGGAAAGAAUUUCGGUCAGGGAUGGACUCGCGGCCUAUCAGCUAGUUGGUGAGGUAAUGGCCCACCAAGGCGACGACGGGUAGCCGGCCUGAGAGGGUGACCGGCCACACUGGGACUGAGACACGGCCCAGACUCCUACGGGAGGCAGCAGUGGGGAAUAUUGCACAAUGGGCGCAAGCCUGAUGCAGCAACGCCGCGUGAGGGACGACGGCCUUCGGGUUGUAAACCUCUUUUAGUAGGGAAGAAGCGAAGUGUUUUACAUGGAGUGACGGUACCUGCAGAAAAAGCACCGGCUAACUACGUGCCAGCAGCCGCGGUAAUACGUAGGGUGCAAGCGUUAUCCGGAAUUAUUGGGCGUAAAGAGCUCGUAGGCGGUUUGUCGCGUCUGCUGUGAAAACUGGGGGCUCAACCCCCAGCCUGCAGUGGGUACGGGCAGACUAGAGUGCGGUAGGGGAGAUUGGAAUUCCUGGUGUAGCGGUGGAAUGCGCAGAUAUCAGGAGGAACACCAAUGGCGAAGGCAGAUCUCUGGGCCGUAACUGACGCUGAGGAGCGAAAGCAUGGGGAGCGA